UAAUAUAUUCAUUUUGUAGACGUCUAUACAUAUGUCAUAUAGUUCUUAUUAAGCUUUUCUUUUUGCUGAGCUUGAAAUGAUUUUUUUUAGUGAGAUUGUGCAGCAAGCAAUAGCCUUGUUUAAUGUGAUUGCUGGCUGUGGACUCACUAACAACCAAACUGAAGUUUUGCUUAAGUCUGUUAGUGAUUCAAUUUGGCUUAAUGCUGUGCUUGUGGAAAAUUUUCCCCUAGAGCAGCACCUUAAAUAUGAUGAGCUGGAUGUAAAUCUGCAUCUAGACAGAUAGAAAUUGAACUGUUUCCAGUCAUCUUGCUGUCAUGUCUUGCACCUAGUCGCGUUCUUUGCGUUUAUGCAUGCUUGUAUGUCGCAACUUGCCUUGCAUGAUGCACUUUGUCAAGUAGACCUCGUCUAUGCAAAUGUCAGUCCCAGCAUUCCAGGGAAGGCGUGUUGUGUUUAUCAGAACUGUUGUGGAUAUUUCUUUAUUUAGCCAACACGCCUAUCUGGUUUCACACCCAAGCAUCAGAGAGCAUUUCAUGCAAUAGGUCAUAGUGUGAUGACUGAGGACAUCCUGGGUGACAAGAUCCCUCAAAUUAGGAACUGGGUUAUGGAGUAUGUGGGAAUGAGAUGACAUCACAGCAAACAAAUGAAUGUGUGCCAGCUCUAUAUUGUUCUGACUGUACAGCAAAUUGUAUAUUGUUUUUUUGGCAUUUCAAAAAAAUGAAAAGUGCACUGCCUUCCAGAUUAUAUGUCAGUCUGAAAGGCAGUAUUUUUAGUCUGACACAAGUAACGAAAAUAGACGAUACUUUAAUUAGGCCUGGGAAUCAAACUUAAAUAUGUCUGAAACACAGUGUUCUUUUUUUAUCAGAUAUUCUUAUAUAAAAGACACGGCAACUUUAGACUAGUCCAUGCAUAUGUUUAGGCAACAUAUUAGGUGAAGGAUUUCAUAGAAAAACUCCAAGAGCAUUAUUUUAGAUAUUUCAUUCAGGUGUCUGGUUGGCAAUAGUAUCAAAACAUUUAAAACAAUACCUAGCCCUGGCUACAGCAUAAUCCAGACACACAAACUCAGUCAUUUGUUUAACGUAAAAUAAAAUUAGUUAGGGCCAGUUUCUCUUUUUACACCACAGUAGUCUUCUUAAAUUGGAGUGCCUUUUUAAUGUCGGUCUACAUCUCCACCAAUUUCUCUAAGGGAAUUAGUCAGGAAUACCACACCAGCUGCAGAUCCUCUACAGACAGACACAUGGAAGGGAAGAGAGAAAGAUGGGAAUCUUUUCAUUUGAAACACCCACUCAAAUACAGCUUUCUCUAUCUUCCAUACACCCUCCCUCUCUCUCCCUUUCAACCAAACCAGUUGCUAGUCAUCAGUGUGCUGUGUGUCUAAGUCAUGUGUGUGCUGAAGAGAUGGAGAGGGAAGGAGCGCUUGUGUCAAAAAGUGAUGGCGAUUGCUGUUAUGUCUGAACAUGUGGCCUGGAUGUUUUGUAUUGCAUUUAUGCAUCUUUUUUUUUAUGGAAGUGCAUGCUUCAUCAGAAUUUCCACCCACAUCCGUUUUCACAGAUUAUCUUACUAUUGCAGUGUUGGCAAGUUCUAAUUCCCUCGUUUAUAACAGAGUAAAGCCUAACCAAGUGGUAGAGCUGGGAGAAUAUGAUGACACGAGGUAGGCACGGCACUUUAGGAUUACUGGUUUGCUCACUCACAGUCUCUCUCUCGCUCAUUUCCUUCUCUUUUACUUAUGAGCUCAAAGGCUAUACAUGCACAGUUUAAAGGAAGAGAGUGGAGGAGGAAGACACACUGCUGCAAUGCAGGAAAGGCAGUGACAAAAAUGUAGCCUAAAUUUAAUAAUAAACCAGGUUGGCAGUUAAAGUUAUACAAGCCAAUCCUGAAGGCAGAGCUGAUCUAAAGGCAGACAUAACUUUACUGGUAGGGUUAAACCUUAUAUGGGCAAAGCCAAAUACCUAAAUCCAUAAGUUUCUAUGUAAUGUUACACUGUAGUUCAGCGUAAAGGUUAGAGUGAAAAAGCUAGUAUCGUCAAAACUAGCCUACCGCUCUGGCUAUCGACUGAAAUAAUGCGGUCUUGCCAUGUUAAGAUAUAGUAUAAGUUUCAGUAGUUAUACUAACCUAUAGUUGUGUAAUGUGAAGGUAAUCUUGUUAGAUAGCCUGGUGAUUUAUUUAUUUAUUACCAAUGAAUUAAAAGUUAGAUAUAUUUUGUAUUAAUAUUUCCCACCACGGUGCUUUUAUUUGUCAUUCAGGAUUGCCAGUUGCUUGUACAGAGGCAUUAAUUAAGUGAGAGUUGAGCGUGAUGUAGAGAGACAAAAUGAG
Sander lucioperca (pikeperch) is the source of this 2310-nucleotide long non-coding RNA. RefSeq lists it as uncharacterized. The transcript is spliced from 2 exons. The record is from RefSeq and is a predicted model, not a curated record. Lineage: Eukaryota; Metazoa; Chordata; Actinopteri; Perciformes; Percidae.